GCUGGGCAAGGUGGUGCACGCCUGUAAUCCUAGCAGCUUGGGAGGCUGGGCAGGAGGAUCACAAGUUCAAAGCCACCCUCAGCAACAGUGAGGCACUAAAGCAACUCAGUGAGACCCUGUCUCU
RNAcentral lists this small RNA (124 nucleotides) under Marmota monax (woodchuck). Lineage: Eukaryota; Metazoa; Chordata; Mammalia; Rodentia; Sciuridae. The record is from RNAcentral.